Podarcis lilfordi (Lilford's wall lizard) is the source of this 71-nucleotide non-coding RNA. The record is from the annotation of a GenBank genome assembly. Lineage: Eukaryota; Metazoa; Chordata; Lepidosauria; Squamata; Lacertidae.
GGGCUGCAGCUCAGUGGUAGAGCAUCUGCUUUGCACACAGAAGGUCCCAGAUUCAAUGCAUGGCAGUGGCA